RNAcentral lists this ribosomal RNA (254 nucleotides) under uncultured bacterium. RNAcentral describes it as "partial 16S ribosomal RNA". It matches the Rfam family "Bacterial small subunit ribosomal RNA", at positions 524 to 776 of the family's 1533-position model. The record is from RNAcentral.
UACGAAGGGGGGCUAGCGUUGUUCGGAAUUACUGGGCGUAAAGCGCACGUAGGCGGAUAUUUAAGUCAGGGGUGAAAUCCCAGAGCUCAACUCUGGAACUGCCUUUGAUACUGGGUAUCUGGAGUAUGGAAGAGGUGAGUGGAAUUCCGAGUGUAGAGGUGAAAUUCGUAGAUAUUCGGAGGAACACCAGUGGCGAAGGCGGCUCACUGGUCCAUUACUGGCGCUGAGGUGCGAAAGCGUGGGGAGCAAACAGG